AGAAACAUGACACACCCAUCUGUCUGAUUCCACAAGAGCUCUCAUGGCUCCUAAGAGUUACACAUAGGUGCACUUACGUUUGAGUAUGAACUCAAACUUGUUUUGGAGUGCAGUCAUAAAAUGAGAUUUAGGUAACGUGAUAAUGGAAGGAACCAGGAGGAGUGGGUUUGUUUUUCAAAACUGUUCCUGGCAGAAGAACCUAUGACCUAGCUCACCACUAUCCACCCGAAGCCUCAUCACACAGCUGUCCAAGGCGUGUGGCCUGGGACAGAGCAGGAGAGAGAGGAGGAGCCACUGCUGGGUGAAAAGGGACUGGUUCUGGGAGACUGUAGGGCCCCUCGUCUCUAAACAGCCAGAUGAAUUCCAGGCAGCUGCCUCUGAUCAGGAAUAAACCAGUGAUUUAAAACACAUACAUCUGUGUUACUCACAAGGAUUCAAUUAUCUCCUAGGGAAACCAGAUGGACUGCCUAGCAACAGCAUCCUCCUCUCCCCCCACCUUCUGCAUACCUGGGGCCUGUGGUUGCCCUUUAGUGACCUACCUGAAAAGUCGGCAUAGCACCGUGGGUAGGAGGGAGGCCUGAGAGGAGCACCAGACCCUGAACCCUAGCUGUGCUGCCUAGGCCCAGUCUUGUCUUCCAGACCGCCAGCGUGAGGAGGCUGGCCUAGCGGCAGUCCCCAUGUCUUCCUUACACGUGGAAACUCAAGCAAGUGGGGAAACUGG
Molecule: long non-coding RNA, 721 nt
Filed under: Heterocephalus glaber (naked mole-rat)
Lineage: Eukaryota; Metazoa; Chordata; Mammalia; Rodentia; Bathyergidae
Description: lncRNA (ENSHGLG00100038047.1)
Source: RNAcentral